UUCCGGUUGAUCCUGCCGGACCUGACUGCUAUCGGAUUGAUACUAAGCCAUGCGAGUCAUUGUAGUAAUACAAGGCAGACGGCUCAGUAACGCGUAGUCAACCUAACCUAUGGACGGGAAUAACCUCGGGAAACCGAGUAUAAUGCCCGAUAGAACAUUAUGCCUGGAAUGGUUUAUGUUCCAAAUGAUUUAUCGCCGUAGGAUGGGACUGCGGCCUAUCAGUUUGUUGGUGAGGUAAUGGCCCACCAAGACUAUUACGGGUACGGGCUCUGAGAGGAGUAGCCCGGAGAUGGGUACUGAGACACGGACCCAGGCCCUAUGGGGCGCAGCAGGCGAGAAAACUUUGCAAUGUGCGAAAGCACGACAAGGUUAAUCCGAGUGGUUUCUGCUAAAGGAACCUUUUGUCGGUCCUAGAAACACCGAUGAAUAAGGGGUGGGCAAGUUCUGGUGUCAGCCGCCGCGGUAAAACCAGCACCUCAAGUGGUCAGGAUGAUUAUUGGGCCUAAAGCAUCCGUAGCCGGCUCUGUUAGUUUUCGGUUAAAUCUGUACGCUCAACGUACAGGCUGCCGGGAAUACUGCAGAUCUAGGGAGUGGGAGAGGUAGACGGUACUCGGUAGGAAGGGGUAAAAUCCUUUGAUCUAUUGAUGACCACCUGUGGCGAAGGCGGUCUACCGGAACACGUCCGACGGUGAGGGAUGAAAGCUGGGGGAGCAAACCGGAUUAGAUACCCGGGUAGUCCCAGCUGUAAACUAUGCAAACUCAGUGAUGCAUUGGCUUGUGGCCNAUGCAGUGCUGCAGGGAAGCCGUUAAGUUUGCCGCCUGGGAAGUACGUACGCAAGUAUGAAACUUUAAAGGAAUUUGGCGGGGGAGCACCACAAGGGGUGAAGCCUGCGUUUCAAUUGGAWUCAACGCCGGA
This 916-nucleotide ribosomal RNA is filed under the name uncultured crenarchaeote. RNAcentral describes it as "bacterial SSU rRNA". It matches the Rfam family "Archaeal small subunit ribosomal RNA", at positions 1 to 922 of the family's 1478-position model. The record is from RNAcentral. Lineage: Archaea; Thermoproteati; Thermoproteota.